This is a long non-coding RNA of Limulus polyphemus (Atlantic horseshoe crab), 993 nucleotides long. RefSeq lists it as uncharacterized. The record is from RefSeq and is a predicted model, not a curated record. The transcript has 2 exons. Lineage: Eukaryota; Metazoa; Arthropoda; Merostomata; Xiphosura; Limulidae.
UUUUGUCUACACAAAACGACAGCAAAUAAUGUGAAAGAUAUUUUAAAAAGGGGGGAUGUUUUUACUUCCUUCCAGGUUUUUGUCUACACAAAACAACAGCAGAUAAUGUCUGAUGAAAACUGUUUGGAUGCAGCAUCAACUAAUGCACCUGUUAAACUUAUAAGAUGUACUGGACUGGGAGGAAACCAGAUGUGGAUAUAUGACACAAAGGACCAAACAAUUCGACACAUGAAUACAGGAAACUGUCUAACGAUGACUAGAGAACAAGACGUUGCUCUCUCUCUUUUGAGAGAGUGUGAUGGAAAUAUUGAUCAGAAGUGGUUAAUGCAGAAAAAUUAUCAAUUGCAAUCUUCUUAGGACCAAAUACAAUUUUGAAAUGUUUGACAAAUAUGCAUGUCAAAAUUGAGAGAAAGUGUGUCUGGUGGAACAUCUGAGAGGACCAAUGGGGUAGCCGAAGAGUAGGCCAGCAUACGUUAUAUAUACAGCAUUACGGUAACAACAUUAGUAUAAGCAAACAAUGAGAGAUAUUUCUGUGACAAUUCCUGUUGUGUAAUCUGCAAUCUUUGUCUUCAUUUAUUGGCAAAACUUUUCAGAAAUGACAGAUUGUAUAAUAAUAACCUCUGAUAAGCAUAGAGCAGUCUUACUAAUGUUCUUCCAAACAAAAUUAAUUUUACCUUUUUUUUUUUGGAGAUUUGUCAUUCUUGAAGUUAGUUGUUAUGGCAAUUUUCUCACAUUUUUAUUGUUAGGAGAAACUAUAUAAUUUUUAUUUUAAUGUAUAAAAACUGAGAUUGUCUGGAAUGUUACCUAUGUAUAUUGUUACCUGAGAAUGUUGUGUUACCUAAGUAUAUCAUUACUUUCUGAUUAUUUUAUAAUUCUUCAUAAAGCGAUCUGUCACAAAAAUUAUCUCAAGUAGUAAGUGUGUUGAAAUGAAUGCUUUGGUUAUUGCAGUAAAAAUUAAGAUUAAUAUAUCUUGUUAUAACAGCUGAAAAACUA